Non-coding RNA from Populus trichocarpa (black cottonwood), 144 nucleotides. Lineage: Eukaryota; Viridiplantae; Streptophyta; Magnoliopsida; Malpighiales; Salicaceae. The record is from Rfam.
UAAUCUAUUUAGAGCAAAUCAUUAUCUAGUUAUAGCAAACUCAAUUCUAACGAUUUAGAAUCACUUGUUAUUGCAAGUUUAUUUAUAUCAUUGACACUGGAAAACAUAGACAACUAUUGUGCGAACAAUAAUUUUUUUUUGAGA